CCCAAGCAGCUUAGGUGAUAGAAACCUAAGGAGCUUAAUAGCUUCACGAUGCCAUAUAACGUAGGGGGAAUCUCCUUGCAUGGGGAAUCUGAUCGGGGAGAUCUGAGUCACGGUGACAGCCUCAGCAAACAGGCAGGCCCUGAAGUAAGGGAGCGUGUGAUGAGCUCAGAGGAGAUGCUGAAUUGAGUGCUUAGGGCCCAGCUCUGAAGGUCUGCAUGCUCUUAAAUCCUGAUGAGCUCAACGAGCACGGAAGGAGCUCAUCACCUCAGAGGAUCAGGCAGAUAUUGAAGCCAGUGAAGCCUUGCUGAAGCCCAUGUCACAUGCUUAAAAAGGUCAGUCACAUAUUUAUAAAAGCCCGUCAGAGCUGAAUUGCGCCCUGAUUGAGAUUAUACUGGAAGCAAGACACAUGAUUGUGCUGAUGUUUACAUUAUUCCCCGAGAAGGUAAAAUUCAGGCAUUUAUUUUUGAUGGUUUAGCGCAGCGCAGAGCUGGCAGCCUGAUUUGUAUUCAACUGCUGCAUAUUGAGGCUGGUCAUCGGUCUUGUAAAUGGUAGAUAGGAGGAAUUGCUACAGCAGAGAAAUAUUUCCUCUGUUUUAGGAUAGAUUUUAACCAUAGCCCUCUGACUCCUGAUAACUGAAGCAAGAGUUAUGUGUCUGGCGUUCUCUGCCCCACACUCCUGGUUAUUUAUUCUGUGAUGUGCAGGAAGGAAGGAGACGUGCGCAAUCUCCAUUCUUGUUACCAGGAAUUGUGCACCUAAUUCUCUGUGCAUUGUACUGAAAAUGAACUAGUAAGAUGUGUUCUGCAUCAGCAAAAAGGCUCCCUUAUUCAGCUGGAAUGAGAACAUGCACGCUAUAACUCGGGAGUAAAGAAAAUCGCUGUAAACGAUUUCUUUAAACAGAGUCUGUUGGGUUUUUCCUUAAAUUUUUGCUGAGAGUGAAGAUUCUGCAGGUUUAUUUUUCCUCCUUUUUCCUACCCAAUUGCUAACCUUUCAGUUGCAUGCGUUUCUGCUGCUUCUAGCACUUUUCAUUCUGAUGGCAGUUUUUCAUCUCUUCGCUGGCUUAUGGCUAAAACAGUCCUUGUAACAGGAAUUUCAGUUACUUACUCUCCAGAAUAAUUAUUUCCAUUUGUUCCCAUUCCAGCCUGGGGGAAAGGGCUUCCUCGUGUCUCGCCUUGAUGGAUCCGUCCUC
This 1186-nucleotide long non-coding RNA is filed under the name Athene cunicularia (burrowing owl). Its description in RNAcentral is "lncRNA (ENSACUG00000010230.1)". The record is from RNAcentral. Lineage: Eukaryota; Metazoa; Chordata; Aves; Strigiformes; Strigidae.